CACGUAGGGCGCAAGCGUUGUCCGGAAUUAUUGGGCGUAAAGAGCUCGUAGGUGGUUUGCUGCGUCCGCUGUGAAAACCCAAGGCUUAACCUUGGGCUUGCAGUGGAUACGGGCAGACUAGAGGUAGGUAGGGGAGAAUGGAAUUCCCGGUGUAGCGGUGAAAUGCGCAGAUAUCGGGAGGAACACCGGUGGCGAAGGCGGUUCUCUGGGCCUUACCUGACACUGAGGAGCGAAAGCGUGGGGAGCGAACAGG
RNAcentral lists this ribosomal RNA (253 nucleotides) under uncultured bacterium. Its description in RNAcentral is "partial 16S ribosomal RNA". It matches the Rfam family "Bacterial small subunit ribosomal RNA", at positions 524 to 776 of the family's 1533-position model. The record is from RNAcentral.